This 325-nucleotide ribosomal RNA is filed under the name uncultured bacterium. RNAcentral describes it as "bacterial SSU rRNA". It matches the Rfam family "Bacterial small subunit ribosomal RNA", at positions 28 to 334 of the family's 1533-position model. The record is from RNAcentral.
GACGAACGCUGGCGGCGUGCCUAACACAUGCAAGUCGAACGGGGGCUCUUUGGAUCGAGACUUCGGUCAAGUGAAUCUGAGCUUAGUGGCGGACGGGUGAGUAACGCGUGAGGAACCUGCCUUGGAGUGGGGAAUAACACAGUGAAAAUUGUGCUAAUACCGCAUAAUGCAGUUGAGUCGCAUGGCUCUGACUGCCAAAGAUUUAUCGCUCUGAGAUGGCCUCGCGUCUGAUUAGCUAGUUGGUGGGGUAACGGCCCACCAAGGCGACGAUCAGUAGCCGGACUGAGAGGUUGGCCGGCCACAUUGGGACUGAGACACGGCCCAG